RNAcentral lists this long non-coding RNA (268 nucleotides) under Lathyrus oleraceus (garden pea). RNAcentral's name for it is "Pisum sativum (pea) long non-coding RNA (PSAT_LNC032392)". The record is from RNAcentral. Lineage: Eukaryota; Viridiplantae; Streptophyta; Magnoliopsida; Fabales; Fabaceae.
UCCAAACAUAGACAAACACAAACACAAAAAUACUUAAAAACCAAAACACAAUCGGAACGAAAAAACUUUCAAAAAUUGAAAACACAAACAUAAAUAAUUAAACCCAAACAUAGACAAACACAAACACAAAAAUGCUUAAAAACCAAAACACAAUCCGAACGAAAAAACUUUCAAAAAUUGAAAACACAAACAUAAAUAAUUUUUGAAACACAAACAUAAAUAUUCAAAUCCAAACAUAGACAAACACAAACACAAAAAUGCUCAAAAA